CCUACGGGAGGCAGCAGUGAGGAAUAUUGGUCAAUGGACGAGAGUCUGAACCAGCCAAGUAGCGUGAAGGAUGACUGCCCUAUGGGUUGUAAACUUCUUUUAUAUGGGAAUAAAAUGUUCCACGUGUGGGAUUUUGUAUGUACCAUAUGAAUAAGGAUCGGCUAACUCCGUGCCAGCAGCCGCGGUAAUAAGGAGGAUCCGAGCGUUAUCCGGAUUUAUUGGGGUUAAAGGGAGCGUAGGUGGUUUGUUAAGUCAGUUGUGAAAGUUUGCGGCUCAACCGUAAAAUUGCAGUUGAAACUGGCAGUCUUGAGUGCAGUAGAGGUGGGCGGAAUGCGUGGUGUAGCGGUGAAAUGCUUAGAUAUCACGAAGAACUCCGAUUGCGAAGGCAGUUCACUGGACUGCAACUGACACUGAGGCUCGAAAGUGUGGGUAUCAAACAGGAUUAGAUACCCUGGUAGUC
RNAcentral lists this ribosomal RNA (460 nucleotides) under uncultured bacterium. Its description in RNAcentral is "partial 16S ribosomal RNA". It matches the Rfam family "Bacterial small subunit ribosomal RNA", at positions 338 to 795 of the family's 1533-position model. The record is from RNAcentral.